UGCCAGCAGCCGCGGUAAUACGAAGGGUGCUAGCGUUGUUCGGAAUUACUGGGCGUAAAGAGCAUGUAGGCGGAUGAAUUAGUCAGAGGUGAAAGCCCCGAGCUCAACUUGGGAACUGCCUUUGAUACUGUUUAUCUAGAGUUUAUCAGAGGAAAGCGGAAUACAUAGUGUAGAGGUGAAAUUCGUAGAUAUUAUGUAGAACACCAGUUGCGAAGGCGGCUUUCUGGGAUAAUACUGACGCUGAGGUGCGAAAGUAUGGGUAGCGAAGAGGAUUAGAUA
This 279-nucleotide ribosomal RNA is filed under the name uncultured bacterium. Its description in RNAcentral is "partial 16S ribosomal RNA". It matches the Rfam family "Bacterial small subunit ribosomal RNA", at positions 506 to 784 of the family's 1533-position model. The record is from RNAcentral.